AGUAAGGAUAAAAUGUGAUGCGCACCUCCUACCAUUACCAAACCGAUUCCGUGUCGAUUAGUGGUGCAAAAGUGGGUGAGGUGGACGAGUGGGAGGAAGGAGAGCAAGGAGGCAGCGAGGGAGAGACUAGGGAUGGCAGUCAACACUUCUGUUCGUCCGUGAUGGUUCUCAAAGACGAGAGAUCAACGGGAGGAAGCUUCACGUCGAGCAACUCCCGGCAUUCAUGAUCGUCUUUUUUCUCAAGUCGCCGCCACUGCCUGCUGGUGCCACUACCAUAUGGAGCUGCGUGGUGAAGGGAACAAGUCUUGGCUCCCAGAUACCUGACACAACGGAGACGCGCUUCAUAAAUUCGGAAUGAACACAAGAUUGUUGCACUGCCACGGAAUGCUGACUGACCCUGACAUUCAUAUUGACGUGACACUGACAAACUCCGUCAAUGUGAAAGAAAAGAUGGUAUUUCGUGUGAUGUGUAUGCACCAAUGACCAAGAGCUGCUGUGUGAGAGGAGCCAGCAGGCCCAAAAUGUCUGUAACCGGCCCACGGCCUGAACGUGACACCCCUAAGUUGUGAGCCGUGUAUGCACUGAUUACUACGUACAAAAUGUCGCCAAAAAAAGGUAAAUUACUCCCAACAUGAUAAAUCAGUGGCAGAUGAGUGUAUUAAUCUAUGCAUGUCCAAUCACUUGAAAAUAAAUCUACAUAAUUUUCAACGUAAGUUACCAUGUGAUAGGACAUCAAUGUUCUGAGAACAAAUAACAUAGCUGGUAACAAUAAAAAGUUUAAUAAAUGAAUUGUUUUACAAUAACAACAAAGUUCUUCUCAUGGGGUAGCAGGCAGGUAUAGAGUUGUAUUAUACAAUGUGGCAAAGUUCAAGAAGCUUACCAUGUAGACAUAGGAUAGAAUGCCGUUAAGUGGUAAAGUAAAGCACGGUAGUAAAAAUGUUGAUAUAAAGGAGUGGGAACAUACUAUUCUUAAAUGGAGAGAGAGAGAGAGAGAGAGAGAGAGAGAGAGAGAGAGAGAGAGAGAGAGAGAGAGAGAGAGAGAGAGAGAGAGAGAGAGAGAGAGAGAGAGAGAGAGAGAGAGAGAGUGGAUUAUUGAUUUGUGAAGAAAAAAGUUUAUGCUCAAGAAAAUGCACUGGUAAACUGUCACCUGAGUGAAGUAACUGACAAAAUUUGAAUCAAAUGGACAAAAUAGAUCAGAAAUUAACACAAUGCUGUAGAGGACAAAGACUGCCUAAACCUUUCACUGAGUAGUGUGUAUAUGUGUUUUAUAAGUUAGGUUCACAGUCAUGGGCUUUGGGCUUCAAGUCUUAACCAGGUAAGGACAAUUUGGGUUCACCUUUUAUGCAACAGUUACCUUUGAUUAAGCAGAUAAGAGGUACAGAACUAUGUUGAAUUGUGAAUAAUCAAGCUCUUCAUCCCAGUCUCUUACAUUUUGCUUUUCUACCUAUAGAUACUGAGAUUAUGAAAAUAUUUUUACUUAAUUCUGCAAGAAUGGUAUACAUUAGUAGUUUAACUAUUUCUAUUUCAUAAAAAAAAUAGGUUUUAAACUAAAUAUACAGUUUAGAUAAUAGUACUUGAAAAAAAAAAAUCAUAGGUAAAUAAGGAUGUACAAUUAUAUAAAUGCAUGACACCUACAUGAAGUUAUGAAAGGCUGUGUUUACCAUACUCAAGUGUGCCAAAGUCAGAUACCUUGAGGAAAUGUAGUCAUAGCUAUAACAUGGAAAUAUUAAUCAUGCCAUAACUUGAACCACUUAUAUGAUCUUUCUUCUUUCUUGUGGUGUUAAGCAGGGCCAGUACAAUGCUGAAUUUUCUUUUCUUUUAUACAAUGUGAGCUUUUCACAGAAAUUUAUGGGGUAAAGGUGGUAUUUUUGGGGGGUACCUCCUAUCUAAAAGCCCCCCUACUAGGGAAUUGUUACCUUGAGUAAGGAAGCCCUAUCUACGUACACUCAGACCGUGGCCAAGUUUCGAAUCUGUACACUUGGAGACCUCUCAGACCUUAAAGUGACAACACUAACACCAAAUCUUCACUUUUAAGAAAAUUACAUCAAUAAUAUCACAACCAAGUGGCAUGGUGCUAUCCUGCUGCCCUCUCGCUCGUCAUCUCUGUUUGACGCCCAGUGACACAAGUCGCUGGCCAGUGUCCCACGCUGCCCCACAGACCAGUAUGGUGGUUAGGGAAGAUUUAUUUAUCUAUUCAUUUUCAUUUAUUUUAUUUAUUUUUUUUUUUUUUUUUUACGCUAUGGCCUCUAGCGCCUGUAGGUUUACUUGAAGAGCAUGUAUAGGAAGCUGUUCAGCUUCUACCCAUUAAUGGCGCAGGCAAUUCUAUUUAUAGUGGUACCCAUAUCAGGGUCCAUAUCACCACCUAAGCACAUCUUUGGUGUAACCACCUAUAACCUACAUGUGGAUGUUUGCCUGAUCCCCAUGCUCCAACUUUUUCUCUUUCUUUCUUUCUUUUCUUUUUUUUUCAUGCAAGAGAUGAAGACUGGCCAACAGUUACAAAAAUGUUCAAAUAAAAUGGCCCAUUGAAAUGCCGGAGCCUGAAUAUAGUGAAAAGAGUUAGUUUGUUGUAUGACCCUGCAAACCAGAAUACAAAGAGUGACUUGCACCAUCUGUAUCUCAUAAAUUUAUAUCACUGCAACAAGAUGACAUGGCAUUAGUCAGGACUGGAGAACUGUAAGCCUCCCACUAAGAAACUGCCUUGAACCAUAAUUGAACUGAUGAGUUUUCAAAGAGAGACUCAGCUCAUCUCAGCAUCACAAAAUCAAUCAAUCCUGUGUAAAUUCACAAGUCACCUUAUGUUAGCAGAAAAGUGAGGCUUAAAUACACUUGUCAUUACACACUAAGGAGUACAGCAAACCUCCAAAAAUCUUGAGAAUCAAACUCAGAACCACAAACUGCUCAAGUAGCUCAACUCAAAUGUUACAAAAUGCUUAGAUAGUAAGAUGGCAUUACAUACAACCCAAUCACUACAUGAUGUGACAAACUAAUUGUGAAAACACCAAGAAUUUAUCUGACAUCAACAUCAACAGGUAGGAAACGUAAACAUUAGCAUCUUGCGAUAUCUUAAUAAUAUAAGGUUCGGGAAAGAAAUUAAAUACUACUCAUGAUUCUUAAAGAAAAACAUAUUGUUACUCCUCAAAAAAAAAAAAAAAAAAAAAAAAAAAAAGCCAGUAAUGAAACACACAAUUGUACAAAUAAGUAAAAGACAAAAUAAAUCUGUCCAACACAACAGUUUCACAAAAUCACAACUUGCCUGUUUGAUAAAUAAAUUAUAAUUAAUCAAAAUAAAAAUAAAAAUUCAAAUGUCACAUCUUUAUCGCUAUGGAAACCAUAAUGUUCUAUUCAAGGGUCUACUUAAAAUCCAAUUGAAAUUAUCAAGACCACAACAAUUACGGAAUACAACAAACACCUAUGUAACACCUCCAAUGUGCUUAGCUUCACAAGAGUAAAUAACGGAAAAAAUACCAAUCACAAACAGUGUAGAGACUGACGCCAAACACGUGAGCAGGGAAGAGCAGUGUGCGUGGGUAAAAAAGCACAAUUAAUGACUAACAUUUAUUUCAGAAAUUCAUUUAUGUAAAUGUGAUACUGCCAACAUUAUUAUUAUUAUCAUUAUUAUUAUCUUUUUAACUUUUAGAAUGUCUGAUUUUUUUCCUGGCCUUUAUAUUAUUUUUCAAGUGUAAGAAAUUGAUUUAUGAUUACGCUGGAAAUACUUGCAAGCAUGAGUCUAUCCCAAAGUGAUAAGAGCGGAUUUAAUCACGUGACAAUAAACACAAAGCGUCACGAGCAUCUUGUGAAUCAAAGUAGUCAAUCUAUUACCUGGGAUGUGGAGGUGCUCUCGUGAAAAAAAAAAAAUUUUAACUAUCUAAACUACUUUUCAUUUGUAAAUAUUCAUUACAUAUUACAUUAUUCAUUACAUAGCCAUAUCCAAGUAAUUUCAAACUCAUAUUUCCUAAUUUAAAGAUUUUUAAACAUUUAACAAUAAAUCAUAACACUGCUUCUUGGUAAAAUAUUGUCCUUUAAUCUAAUUAAUGAUGGAACCUUCUAUUUCUUGAAAAACCCAGUGACAGGUUACUACUAGCCGACUUGCUCUGUGCCUCCUUUACCAUAUCUCUGCUGUGCAACUCCCCCACACCACAUCACUGCCACACUGUCCAUGAACUAUCUUGUAAAGUUCACCAAAUCACCCAUACAAUCUCCUCAUGGCUAAGCAAUAAAAACCCUUGCUAAAGUAAAUAAUCUCAGAGCCGACAAUAGAGCUGGCCAUACCUCUCGACUGACAAUGGGAUGUUUUGCUAACUCCACCCCCACAUUCAUUGACGACUAUGGCACAAAGCACUCGUCAUCACAUUUAGCAAACACCUCAUGAUUUUCCACUUUAGAACCACUACAGUGAUCUAUCUCAGUGAGAUCAAUCUUACAGUAUCAUACACCUAACAUGUAACUACACGUUUCUUUAUCCAGCAAAGCUAUGAUGCCAGCAUUUCAAGAAAUAAAUCUAAAAGAUUAGAUAAGAAAAACCAUCCUAUUUUUACAUACAGCUUAAAUAUACUGGCUUCACUGACGCAGGUCAAGAAAUUGUCAGGCUUCUCAGGUGAAAGUUUUCAGAAAGCAUUCUUUAAAUCUCUUACAAGAAAUGCCUAGCUGGAUUACUGGCUUAUAUGUGACAACACAAUAACCUUAUGUUUCUUAUUCCUUUCCUAAGUGUCCCAUUAAAAUCCUGCAUCACAUUUUCCCCCAUGUAAACACAACACAAAGUACAUCCACUGAUGCAUGACUCCUGACACCAAUGCACUGCCAUCUUACUGCAUACCACACCAAACACCACUCUACUAUAUACCGCUGCUGGAUGACUAGUACACACACCAGACACCCACAAACAAACCAGGCAACAGAAAACAGACAGACACAAACAAAAAGGAAAAAAAAUAAAGCAAAACUGAGGAGUCACAACAUUCCUAAUCCUACACAACAAUAUUUACCUCACCACUGACCACCCUUGACAUGAACCAAGCACCACACACACUCACCCAUAAACCAAGCAACAGAAAACACAUACACACACAAAAAAAAAAAAGAAAAAAAAAAAAUAAAACAAAACUGAGGAGUCACAACCUUCCCAAUCCUAGACAACAAUAUUUACCUCACCACUAAUCACCCCUAACAUAAACCACGCCAAGCCAGCCAUACUAAUCCACCACCACCCCACAUCCCUCCAAUAAUCCCCCACAACAAGACUCGACAAGAAUCAGCUGACUGCAACAGGUGAGGUGCAGUGUCAGUGUCAACAGAUCACAAGUCACCCCCGCCUCACCUUUACAUGAAGGAUUGGUGAGGUAUAUCUUGAAGUGGUUCACCAGUUCAUGAUUCGUCACCCUGCCACCCCGGAACACCAUAAAGUCCUUCACAGAUUCAAGAGUAAAUUCGUCAGAGAGGGAUGCCAUCACUGUUCACUGUUGUUGUUUUGGAGCAGCACGGCAGGUCCUGCUGUCUGGAACUCCAUUCCACAACCUGUUCAAGAUGCAUCCUUCCUCUGUGCUAUCAAAAACAAAUUGAAGAAACUCAUCAUAUCUGAGGAUUAAUUUGUAUGCAAUAAAUAUAAGUAUGUAGAUAUAUAAUAUGUACGUACAUAAAUGUGUUAUAUGAAUUUAAAAGAGUAUACAUUUGUGUAUGUGCAUGUUUGUGUCUAUCUGUGAUUCUGGAAUUCAUUAUUACAAUACUUGACAUCAUACAUUAAUCAUAUGGUUUGUGCUCCACUAAUAUAUACGUUUUGUAUAUGAGUAUGCAUAUACAUAUGUAAACAUGCAUACACAUGUAACGAUAUAUAUGUAUUAGUACAUAUUUGUGUUACUAUAAGUAAUAAGAACUUAUAUGUGUAUGCAUGUGUGUAUGUGCAUAUGUGUACCUGUGUGUUUGUUGAUUUACUUUAUCUCCAUUCUUUCAUAUCAUAUACUAAUUAUUUAUACUGUGCCUCAUUUUGCUUUCAUGACAGUCAAGUGUCUACCAAAUAUCAUAUUAUCUUGUUGUUACUAUUAUUAUCAUUAUCAUUAUGUUUAUUA
Portunus trituberculatus (swimming crab) is the source of this 6059-nucleotide long non-coding RNA. RefSeq lists it as uncharacterized. The record is from RefSeq and is a predicted model, not a curated record. The transcript is spliced from 5 exons. Lineage: Eukaryota; Metazoa; Arthropoda; Malacostraca; Decapoda; Portunidae.